Molecule: ribosomal RNA, 252 nt
Filed under: uncultured bacterium
Lineage: Bacteria
Description: partial 16S ribosomal RNA
Rfam family: Bacterial small subunit ribosomal RNA
Source: RNAcentral
UACGAAGGGGGCUAGCGUUGCUCGGAAUCACUGGGCGUAAAGGGUGCGUAGGCGGGUCUUUAAGUCAGGGGUGAAAUCCUGGAGCUCAACUCCAGAACUGCCUUUGAUACUGAAGAUCUUGAGUUCGGGAGAGGUGAGUGGAACUGCGAGUGUAGAGGUGAAAUUCGUAGAUAUUCGCAAGAACACCAGUGGCGAAGGCGGCUCACUGGCCGAUACUGACGCUGAGGCACGAAAGCGUGGGGAGCAAACAGG